RNAcentral lists this ribosomal RNA (253 nucleotides) under uncultured bacterium. RNAcentral describes it as "partial 16S ribosomal RNA". It matches the Rfam family "Bacterial small subunit ribosomal RNA", at positions 524 to 776 of the family's 1533-position model. The record is from RNAcentral.
UACAGAGGCCACAAGCGUUAGGCGGAAUCACUGGGCUUAAAGCGUGUGUAGGCGGGAUGGUAAGUACUUUGUGAAAUCCCACGGCUUAACCGUGGAAUUGCUUGGUAUACUGCCGUUCUUGAGUCAUCUAGGGGCAGCCGGAACAGAUGGUGGAGCGGUGAAAUGCGUAGAUAUCGGGAGGAACACCCGUAGCGAAGGCGGCACUCUGGGCCGGUACUGACGCUGAGGAGCGAAAGCGUGGGGAGCAAACAGG